GAUGAACGCUGGCGGCGUGCCUAAUACAUGCAAGUCGAGCGAACAGAUGAGGAGCUUGCUCCUCUGACGUUAGCGGCGGACGGGUGAGUAACACGUGGAUAACCUACCUAUAAGACUGGGAUAACUUCGGGAAACCGGAGCUAAUACCGGAUAAUAUAUUGAACCGCAUGGUUCACUAGUGAAAGACGGUUUUGCUGUCACUUAUAGAUGGAUCCGCGCCGCAUUAGCUAGUUGGUAAGGUAACGGCUUACCAAGGCAACGAUGCGUAGCCGACCUGAGAGGGUGAUCGGCCACACUGGAACUGAGACACGGUCCAGACUCCUACGGGAGGCAGCAGUAGGGAAUCUUCCGCAAGGGGCGAAAGCCUGACGGAGCAACGCCGCGUGAGUGAUGAAGGUCUUCGGAUCGUAAAACUCUGUUAUUAGGGAAGAACAAAUGUGUAAGUAACUAUGCACGUCUUGACGGUACCUAAUCAGAAAGCCACGGCUAACUACGUG
This 497-nucleotide ribosomal RNA is filed under the name uncultured bacterium. RNAcentral describes it as "partial 16S ribosomal RNA". It matches the Rfam family "Bacterial small subunit ribosomal RNA", at positions 28 to 507 of the family's 1533-position model. The record is from RNAcentral.